This 1014-nucleotide long non-coding RNA is filed under the name Marmota monax (woodchuck). Lineage: Eukaryota; Metazoa; Chordata; Mammalia; Rodentia; Sciuridae. The record is from RNAcentral.
AGCAACUACAAGGUGCUAAUCAACUCGGUGAGACCCUGUCUCUAAAUAAAAUACAAAAUAGGACUGGGGACUUGGCUCAAUGGUUGAGUGCCCCUGAAUUCAAUCCCAGGUACUCCCCCCACCACAAAAAAAAAUGUCUUUUUUAAAGUGUCAUUUAGUCUCAGAGGGGUACACAGCAUGUCUUGGCAGAAUAAAGAGACAACUCUUUGACUUGGAGGUGAAGAUUUGCUAGGACAAAUUUUGCUAGGACAGGGGUCAGGCAAGAUUUGCUAUGACAGCCUUACUGAAACAGCAUGCAGGAGUGGGCCAUCUCCUAGAAGUCUGGCAUAACUGCAGCUGAAGGUAUGUUCUGCAAUGUAGAAUUCCAAUUUUAUCCUGGAUGUAACUCAAUCACUAAAAGACUUUGGGUAAAAUGACAUAAAAUAAUGCUUAUAGGACCUCAAGUAUUAAAAAUAGGGUUGUAUUGAAGGAUGCACAUUUUCCUCAAUAUUUUGUAUGUGUAUGUGUGUGUGUGUGUGUGAGGGUGGGGGUAAAUGGGGAUUGAACUCAGGGGCACUCGACCACUGAGCCACAUCCCCAGCCCUCUUUUGUGCUUUAUUUAGAGACAGGGUCUCACUGACUUGCUUAAUGCUUUGCUUUUGCUGAGGGGCUCUGAACUUGCCAUCCUCCUGCCUCAGCCUCCCAAGCCGCUGGGAUUAUAGAUGUGCGCCACCAUGCUUGGCUUUUAUAUGUGGUUUGAAACUUAAAAUAUUAAGUUCUCAUACUGACUGGUAUAGUCACUGGAGGGUGUCUUUAUGCAUACUAAAGAGAUUCAAUUGAAUAUAAAUGGAAAGCAAAGAACUUAUCAAAUUGUAAUUAGAAUUGAUCCAUAUUGAAAGGUUCCAGAAUAGGCCUCUAAGGCAUAAAAAAUAUUUUGAGAAGGCAUUUGGUAUCCCUGAAAUCACAAUCUGCUUAUAAGCUGAACUUCUCAAAAGAACUUAGUUACCACAAAUCCCUUCCCCAGGAGCAGUUAGG